This 294-nucleotide ribosomal RNA is filed under the name uncultured bacterium. Its description in RNAcentral is "partial 16S ribosomal RNA". It matches the Rfam family "Bacterial small subunit ribosomal RNA", at positions 27 to 311 of the family's 1533-position model. The record is from RNAcentral.
GAACGAACGCUGGCGGCGCGCCUAAUACAUGCAAGUCGAGCGAGAAGACGUAGCAAUACGUUUGUAAAGCGGCGAACGGGUGAGGAAUACAUGGGUAACCUACCCUCGAGUGGGGAAUAACUAGCCGAAAGGUUAGCUAAUACCGCGUACGCUCCUUGGACUUCGGUUCAGGGAGGAAAGCGAUACCGUGGGUAUCGCGCUCUUGGAUGGGCUCGAUGUCCUAUCAGCUUGUUGGUGNGGUAACGGCUCACCAAGGCUUCGACGGGUAGCUGGUCUGAGAGGACGAUCAGCCAC